Molecule: ribosomal RNA, 353 nt
Filed under: uncultured fungus
Lineage: Eukaryota; Fungi
Description: SSU rRNA
Rfam family: Eukaryotic small subunit ribosomal RNA
Source: RNAcentral
GUAGUCAUAUGCUUGUCUCAAAGAUUAAGCCAUGCAUGUCUAAGUUCAAGCGAAAAUAAAGUGAAACCGCGAAUGGCUCAUUAUAUCAGUUAUGGUUCCUUAGAUCGCACUUACUACUUGGAUAACUGUGGUAAUUCUAGAGCUAACACAUGCGCUGGACUCCAACCCUCGUGGAAGGAGUGCUUUUAUUAGAUCAAAGCCAAUCGAGUCUUCGGGCUCGUUAUAUUGGUGACUCUGAAUAACUUUGCUGAUCGCAUGGUCUCGUACCGGCGACGUAUCUUUCAAGUGUCAGCCUUAUCAACUGUCGAUGGUAGGUUAUGCGCCUACCAUGGUGGCAACGGGUAACGGGGAAU